Molecule: ribosomal RNA, 449 nt
Filed under: uncultured bacterium
Lineage: Bacteria
Description: partial 16S ribosomal RNA
Rfam family: Bacterial small subunit ribosomal RNA
Source: RNAcentral
AGCGAACGCCGGCGGAAUGCUUAACACAUGCAAGUCGCACGCCCUGCAAGGGGAGUGGCGGACGGGUGAGUAACGCGUAGGAAUAUGUCCAGAGGUGGGGGACAACCCUGGGAAACUGGGGCUAAUACCGCAUGUGGGCUGAGGCCCAAAGCAGUGAUGCGCCUUUGGAGUAGCCUGCGUCCGAUUAGCUUGUUGGUGGGGUAAAGGCUUACCAAGGCGACGAUCGGUAGCUGGUCUGAGAGGACGACCAGCCACACUGGGACUGAGACACGGCCCAGACUCCUACGGGAGGCAGCAGUGGGGAAUAUUGGACAAUGGGCGCAAGCCUGAUCCAGCAAUUCCGCGUGGGUGAAGAAGGUCUUCGGAUUGUAAAGCCCUUUCGACGGGGACGAUGAUGACGGUACCCGUAGAAGAAGCCCCGGCUAACUUCGUGCCAGCCGCCGCGGUAA